CAGAAAUAAGCAGGGAUCAGCUUAAACACCAAGAGGCCAUCCUGCAGACAAACUGACCGGAAACCUUGGACUCUGACAGCAGUGUCAGCAAGGGACUCCUACCUAGCAGGACCGGGGACUCGGGGACUCGUCUACUUAAAUUGUCAAAUGCAAAAACCAGGACCAAGCUCCCUGGCAGCUUCGCGGCCGAAGAGAGGAGAUGUGACUGGUCUGCUGGGCGCCGGGAGCCGUCGGGCCGGGAGCAGCCGCCUGGGCAUGCAGCUCCCAGGGCCUGUGGGCGCCCUGGGAACCCGCACCACCAGGGCCAGGCACCUGCGGGCCUGAGGGCGGCGGACCUUCCCCUGGGGCAGGGACAACUGCAUACAGCAGUCAGGGGGAGGACCAGAGGGCAGGAGAGGGCAGCGUUCCAGACGUGGGUCGGGAAGCCCUUCCUGGAGGCUGGAUCUGGGCCAGGCCCGCAGGACACCCGUGGUCAGCCUGCAGGCCGGUGGGCCUAGACCUGGAGGAACGUGUUUUCAGUUUGGGGAUGUAGUGAAUAUACGAUUCUAUAUAUUUGAUAAAAGUGGCUGAAUGCAGCCGGGCACUUGGCACUCACCUGUGAUCCCAGCUGCUCGGGAGGCUGCGGUGGGAGGUGGGAGGAUGGAAAGUUCAAAGCCAGCCUCAACAACUUGGUGAGACCCUGUCUCAAUAAAAAGGAAAAGAAAGGGCUGGGGAUGUGGCUCAGUGGUUAAGCACCUUGGGUUCAAUCCCUGGCACGCGCGUGCGCACGCGCACACGCACA
RNAcentral lists this long non-coding RNA (781 nucleotides) under Marmota monax (woodchuck). Lineage: Eukaryota; Metazoa; Chordata; Mammalia; Rodentia; Sciuridae. The record is from RNAcentral.